UGCACACGUUGCAGAGGCUAAUGGUAAUCUCCUACCAGAACUCCCACCAACUCUGGAUAAUCCCAAUCCUCGCUAAAAAGGAUUGGGGUUGGAAGUGAUUAUUGGCUUUUCUUUAGCCAUGCAGAAAUUGGAGCCGAGUGUCAGCCCGCCGACUCUAUACGAGAGGCCUAGCAGGCUCCACUACAACCCGCUCGCACAGCUAUCAGUCAGAUUCUCUGUUCCUCACAAAAUGAUUCAAUCAACUAAUUGAAGACAUACAGUGAUUAUUGUCGAAAAAAAAACCUUUGAAUUAAAGAGAAUUUAUUUCAAGGUUUAGUUAAAUAUUAUUUAUCUCUGAAUAAUAUUGACGGAGUGUGACUGUCCUAGCAUAUCACUACACCAACAUGGGAGAGUCAAAGUAAGGUAACUUAUUUAUCUACUUGACUCACCCAAUGUCACUCACCCUUACACAUCAGCGCAGAAGCAAGAUCAUCCUUCAACUCCCCUUUGAGUCCCAUCCUCAUCACCACCUUCACAAUCGGCAACACCAGCCUCCUCCCCAAUCCCACACCAAGCAAGGACCUCCUAUCCUCAUCGCUCUAUAGCUCGCUCGCCUUGCCAAUCAACCCCCAUCUUCGUCCCCGCAUCCAACCUCCCCUUGCGGCAAACCCAACUCACAGACUGCCCCCGUGGUGUUGACAUCCGCGACUGGUCUUCCGCUCCUCCAACGCAAUCCCCCUGUCAGAACAUAGACAUACUGCCCCAGUCUCCUUUUGCGUGCCUCAGGAGCUUGAUCAGCAUGUAAGACGCGCGAAUCUGCUGUUUUGUAGUUUGUACGUCCGGAAACGGAAGAGGCGGUAGCCUCGUCGGUCUUUGAUGUCCAUGAUGUGAUGGUGUGGAAGAGGUGAGGUGGGAUGUUAGAAAAGAGGUCGGUGAGGGAGGAGAGAGAGGAGAUGUGUGUGUUUAAUCAGUGCAUGCACUUAGGCAAAAGGGGUUUUUGGAUCCUUGCUACAUCUGCGAUCUCCAGGCAACCGCUUGCUUAACUGCUGAGCUUAGCAUCGCGAGUUUCAACUUUCAAAAGAGAUACGGCAUAUCAUUGUAGGUAUCCCAACGAUGUUUCGUGAUGGUGUUUAGAGCAAAAGCGGAGAAGAUGUUCUUGGGUUGUUUGAACAACCUUGGUUGACUUAGGAAGAGGUGUCAAUGUUCAUCUGGUUCAAAACAGGAAACAAGACAGAACAACGACCACACUAUGCUGUUGGAUACAAUAUCUUGGUGUAGAAUAAAUGAAC
RNAcentral lists this small RNA (1268 nucleotides) under Histoplasma capsulatum var. duboisii H88. Its description in RNAcentral is "Histoplasma capsulatum H88 hypothetical RNA". Lineage: Eukaryota; Fungi; Ascomycota; Eurotiomycetes; Onygenales; Ajellomycetaceae. The record is from RNAcentral.